Molecule: non-coding RNA, 413 nt
Organism: Camelina sativa (false flax)
Lineage: Eukaryota; Viridiplantae; Streptophyta; Magnoliopsida; Brassicales; Brassicaceae
Source: RefSeq, a predicted model, not a curated record
UGAAGGCAUGCACUCGUACUUUUAUUACAUGUUGUGGUAAUUAAUCUGGUGGUAUCGCGGCAAUCGUCCGUUACGGGCACUCGAUUGCUGCACAUCAUGUAUCCAAGGCGAUCGUUUCCUGGUACACUACCUGGCAGAAAACGAAGAUGCUAUAAUGCUAAUCGAGUAGAAUCCGAUUCCAAUUGUUCCGGUGGUUGAUCUAGCUCAUCUACACUAAGGCUUCAUAAGAUAUAUCUUCCGGGGAGAAGACUGUAAACUAGUCUUUGUUAUUUAGAACUUGAUUGUGAUGGGUUGUUGGUGGUGGAAGUGGUCAAGAAGAAGCAUCCCUUAUGAUUAUACUAUGGAUGCUGAACUGAAGAUUGUGAUGGACUGUGAAAAUUUCGCAAAAAAACUCAGAAAAGCUGUUAGCAAAC